UUCCUUCCUCUCCCUCUUCCUCCCCCGCUCGCUCUCUCUUUUCCUCUUUCCUUCUACUUCUCCCCCUCCGGCGACGAGUUUCAUUUUCAUUGCCGAAACUGUCCAGUCUGCCGUCGGGACGACUCGGUAGGACUAGAAGUCUAGAACCGCCCGAUUCCAGACAGUUCUGCCAACCCAGAGCCAGAUACUAGAUGGUGCCAUGGAAGGAUGGGCUUGGAGAGACAUCACUAGUUAUACAAUUGUUAUGACAUGGACAAUAAAGAAGCUGAGGUCACCUGGUUGAAACAUCUGGCAGGUGGCUAUAGUAUAUGCAGAAGUGUACCGAGGUACCUAGAGAAGUCAGACAUGUAAUGAGGGACCAUUUGCAGAGUCCAAAGGCAGUGGAGUAGGUAGCUAGAUACGAGAAGGCUCAACAGGAUUGCAAGGCAGCCGAGGUCAAUGUUCAGCCUAGUAGGGACGACAAAUGCAGUGAGUCUGAGCUAUCUGAUCUAGAUGAUAUGGAGGCUAUUACGAUACAUGAGACAAUCUAGGCCUCUUCGCAGGCAAUCUAGACAGUUCGGGUCUCCACAUAAUUGAAGGGAUAGUGUUGCAUCUAGGGGAGGGCAUGCAGCCAAGGAUAGCUCCGAGCCACAUAAGACCUAGUCAACUAGAGGUGAUGAUGGAGGCAUUAUAUCCCUAUUCAGUGCAUUUCAAAGAGGGAAAGAACACCAGAUCAGGUCCCACCAUUUCUAACAUCAAUAUGACAACUUACUCAGACCCACCAGCUAAGUAACCCUGGAUAGAUGACUGUAUCAAGAAGGACUAAGAGCAUGUGAUGGUGACUGCCAUAGCUAAGUAGUUCCACUAUGGUUAAAUACUAGCUUGGGCUGCAGCUAAUAGCUUCUUCCAAAACAUGAUUCUGAAAAACAGAAGCAGGGUCA
Molecule: long non-coding RNA, 920 nt
Filed under: Phoenix dactylifera (date palm)
Lineage: Eukaryota; Viridiplantae; Streptophyta; Magnoliopsida; Arecales; Arecaceae
Description: long non-coding RNA (PDAC_LNC016968)
Source: RNAcentral